UAAGCCAUCUUCGGAUGGUGGAAAGUGGCGCACGGGUGAGUAACACGUGGGGACCUACCUGAUAGUAAGGGACAACAGUUGGAAACGACUGCUAAUACCUUAUACGCUCUUCGGAGGAAAGAUUUAUCGCUAUCAGAUGGACCCGCGCUAGAUUAGAUAGUUGGUGAGGUAAUGGCUCACCAAGUCUGCGAUCUAUAGCUGGUUUGAGAAGAUGAUCAGCCACAUUGGAACUGAGACACGGUCCAGACUCC
Molecule: ribosomal RNA, 251 nt
Filed under: uncultured bacterium
Lineage: Bacteria
Description: partial 16S ribosomal RNA
Rfam family: Bacterial small subunit ribosomal RNA
Source: RNAcentral